This 469-nucleotide ribosomal RNA is filed under the name uncultured bacterium. RNAcentral describes it as "SSU rRNA". It matches the Rfam family "Bacterial small subunit ribosomal RNA", at positions 26 to 518 of the family's 1533-position model. The record is from RNAcentral.
AGGACGAACGCUGGCGGCGUGCUUAACACAUGCAAGUCGAGCGGAAAGGCCCUUCGGGGUACUCGAGCGGCGAACGGGUGAGUAACACGUGAGCAAUCUGCCCUUAGCUUCGGGAUAGCUCCGGGAAACCGGAAUUAAUACCGAAUAUGACUUCGGCCGACAUCGGCCUUGGUGGAAAGUUUUUCGGCUAGGGAUGAACUCGCGGCCUAUCAGCUUGUUGGUGGGGUAAUGGCCUACCAAGGCGACGACGGGUAGCCGGCCUGAGAGGGCGACCGGCCACACUGGGACUGAGACACGGCCCAGACUCCUACGGGAGGCAGCAGUGGGGAAUUUUGCGCAAUGGGGGAAACCCUGACGCAGCAACGCCGCGUGGAGGAUGAAAUCCCUUGGGAUGUAAACUCCUUUCGAUCGGGAAGAUAAUGACGGUACCGAGAGAAGAAGCCCCGGCUAACUUCGCGCCAGCAGCCGC